AAUCUUAAAUAAAGCAUGAUUUAAAAUAAAAUAUGGAAUUAAAAAAAACAUAAUAUUAUCCUAAAAAUCAUGAUGAACUAAGUAUAUACAUCAAGCAUGAAAACAUAAAAUCCUAAUAUAAAAAAAAAAAAAAAAAAAAGUAGAAAAAAAGACAAAGCAUCAUAAGUUUUCAAAUAACAAAAUAUGAUGGAUUUAAAUUACUGAAAUUCAAAAUAUAGCUUUUUUUUUUAGCUUUCAAUCUUCCUCGUCACUCUCCUCUUCAGACAUCUCUUCAUCCUUGUCCUUAGCCGCAUCGCCAAUGUCACCACCUUCAGCUUCACCACGUAGUUCUCCUAGUACUAAGUGUGUCAAAGGCUUCCUAGUUUG
This 366-nucleotide long non-coding RNA is filed under the name Lathyrus oleraceus (garden pea). RNAcentral describes it as "Pisum sativum (pea) long non-coding RNA (PSAT_LNC016262)". The record is from RNAcentral. Lineage: Eukaryota; Viridiplantae; Streptophyta; Magnoliopsida; Fabales; Fabaceae.